AUGCUCAAGAUAGAUCUUGCUAAAGCUUUUGAUCGUCUUGAAUGGAGUUUCAUUGUGUCUGCUCUUGCACAUAAAGGUCUGCAUGGUCAUUUCAUUAAUUUGAUUCAUGCUUGCAUUUCUUCUCCUACUUUCUCUGUGCUUAUUAAUGGGCAGCCUUCUCAUAAAUUUAAAAGUUUCAGAGGUAUUCGUCAAGGCUGUCCCAUGUCGCCUUAUUUGUUUGUUAUUGCUAUCAAUGAAUUAUCUGUUGCUCUUAAUGAAGCUCUAGCUGCUCAUCAUCUCCAGGGUAUUUCACUUGGUCCAGAUUGCCCUUCUAUUCAUUCUCUAUUGUUUGCAGAUGAUCUGUUGGUUUGUGGUCAAGCCACUAUGCAGGAAGCAAAUUCUAUGGCUCAACUCAUCCAUCACUUUUGUUAUAUUUCAGGUCGAACACCAAAUUGGGCCAAAUCUGCUAUUCUUUUUAGUACUCAUGUUAGUCAAACCACUAUUCAAGAGAUUAAGCAAGUUUUUCCUGUUUCUAUCAUGGAUAACAAUUUCACCCACCUUGGUCAUCCGCUUAUUCUUCCUGCUAAAAAUAGAACUGCUGCUUACAACUUGUUAUUGAUAAAUUUCUGA
This 609-nucleotide ribosomal RNA is filed under the name Triticum aestivum (bread wheat). RNAcentral's name for it is "partial small subunit ribosomal RNA". Lineage: Eukaryota; Viridiplantae; Streptophyta; Magnoliopsida; Poales; Poaceae. The record is from RNAcentral.